This 68-nucleotide transfer RNA is filed under the name Marmota monax (woodchuck). RNAcentral describes it as "tRNA.Val". The stretch from base 5 to 65 matches the Rfam family "tRNA", at positions 6 to 65 of the family's 71-position model. Rfam says of the family: Transfer RNA (tRNA) molecules are approximately 80 nucleotides in length. Their secondary structure includes four short double-helical elements and three loops (D, anti-codon, and T loops). Further hydrogen bonds mediate the characteristic L-shaped molecular structure. tRNAs have two regions of fundamental functional importance: the anti-codon, which is responsible for specific mRNA codon recognition, and the 3' end, to which the tRNAs corresponding amino acid is attached (by aminoacyl-tRNA synthetases). tRNAs cope with the degeneracy of the genetic code in two manners: having more than one tRNA (with a specific anti-codon) for a particular amino acid; and 'wobble' base-pairing, i.e. permitting non-standard base-pairing at the 3rd anti-codon position. The record is from RNAcentral. Lineage: Eukaryota; Metazoa; Chordata; Mammalia; Rodentia; Sciuridae.
GAUUUGUGGCUCAGUGGUAGAGUGCUUUCCUGACAUGGGUGAGGCCCUGAGUUCAAUCCUCAGCACCA